RNAcentral lists this transfer RNA (73 nucleotides) under Ruminococcus sp. AM36-2AA. RNAcentral's name for it is "tRNA-Met". It matches the Rfam family "tRNA". From Rfam's summary of the family: Transfer RNA (tRNA) molecules are approximately 80 nucleotides in length. Their secondary structure includes four short double-helical elements and three loops (D, anti-codon, and T loops). The record is from RNAcentral. RNAcentral also lists the same sequence under 2 other names. Lineage: Bacteria; Bacillati; Bacillota; Clostridia; Eubacteriales; Oscillospiraceae.
UGGCAUAUAGUUCAAUGGUAGAAUAAUUGACUCAUGGAUCAAUAUAAUGACGGUUCGAUUCCGUCUAUGCCAA